UGGUUUCUGUGUCGAGGUUGCUGUUGUGCCCAGGAUUAGGAGAUGAUUUUAGGCCAUCUUUUGUUAGCCUCAUUAUUUUCCCAAACACUGUCCUUAACGAAAAAAAUUUAUCCUUUGUUAUCCACUUUGAGCCUAUUUAGCUUUUAUUCUUUAGCCGGAUGAUAGGGGGUGAUGAAGUAUAUGGGAAUCUUUGUGUGGUGAAUAUCAUAGUGGUUCAUGAAAAAGAAGGGAUGAUAUUAUGAUACUAUUUACUCUUAUGAGCUCUAGAAAAGUUGUGGAAAGAAAAGAAAAAAAAA
RNAcentral lists this long non-coding RNA (296 nucleotides) under Salvia miltiorrhiza (redroot sage). RNAcentral's name for it is "long non-coding RNA (SMIL_LNC002077)". Lineage: Eukaryota; Viridiplantae; Streptophyta; Magnoliopsida; Lamiales; Lamiaceae. The record is from RNAcentral.